This 633-nucleotide ribosomal RNA is filed under the name uncultured bacterium. RNAcentral's name for it is "bacterial SSU rRNA". It matches the Rfam family "Bacterial small subunit ribosomal RNA", at positions 139 to 757 of the family's 1533-position model. The record is from RNAcentral.
GGGGAUAACAUUUGGAAACAGGUGCUAAUACCGCAUAACAACGAAAACCACAUGGUUUUCGUUUCAAAGAUCCGUUUCGGCUAUCACUUCAGGAUGGGCCCGCGGUGCAUUAGCUUGUUGGUAGGGUAACGGCCUACCAAGGCAAUGAUGCAUAGCCGAGUUGAGAGACUGAUCGGCCACAAUGGAACUGAGACACGGUCCAUACUCCUACGGGAGGCAGCAGUAGGGAAUCUUCCACAAUGGGCGCAAGCCUGAUGGAGCGACACCGCGUGAGUGAAGAAGGGUUUCGGCUCGUAAAGCUCUGUUGUUGAAGAAGAACGUGCGUGAGAGCAACUGUUCACGCAGUGACGGUAUUCAACCAGAAAGUCACGGCUAACUACGUGCCAGCAGCCGCGGUAAUACGUAGGUGGCAAGCGUUAUCCGGAUUUAUUGGGCGUAAAGCGAGCGCAGGCGGUUGCUUAAGUCUGAUGUGAAAGCCUUCGGCUUAACCGAAGAAGUGCAUCGGAAACUGAGCGACUUGAGUGCAGAAGAGGACAGUGGAACUCCAUGUGUAGCGGUGGAAUGCGUAGAUAUAUGGAAGAACACCAGUGGCGAAGGCGGCUGUCUGGUCUGCAACUGACGCUGAGGCUCGAA